AAGAUACUAGUAAAAAAGAAUAUUACACUGCCUUGUCAAGGCAAAAUUGUAGGUUAAAAUCCUGCGUAUCUUA
This 73-nucleotide transfer RNA is filed under the name Pseudobagrus brevicorpus (Korean stumpy bullhead). RNAcentral describes it as "tRNA-Asp". It matches the Rfam family "tRNA". From Rfam's summary of the family: Transfer RNA (tRNA) molecules are approximately 80 nucleotides in length. Their secondary structure includes four short double-helical elements and three loops (D, anti-codon, and T loops). Lineage: Eukaryota; Metazoa; Chordata; Actinopteri; Siluriformes; Bagridae. The record is from RNAcentral. RNAcentral also lists the same sequence under 6 other names.